ACCUACGGGGGGCAGCAGUAGGGAAUCUUCCACAAUGGGCGAAAGCCUGAUGGGGCAACGCCGCGUGGGUGAAGAAGGUCUUCGGGUCGUAAAACCCUGUUGUUAGAGAAGAAAGUGCGUGAGAGUAACUGUUCACGUUUCGACGGUAUCUAACCAGAAAGCCACGGCUAACUACGUGCCAGCAGCCGCGGUAAUACGUAGGUGGCAAGCGUUAUCCGGAUUUAUUGGGCGUAAAGGGAACGCAGGCGGUCUUUUAAGUCUGAUGUGAAAGCCUUCGGCUUACCCGGAGUAGUGCAUUGGAAACU
This 305-nucleotide ribosomal RNA is filed under the name uncultured bacterium. RNAcentral's name for it is "bacterial SSU rRNA". It matches the Rfam family "Bacterial small subunit ribosomal RNA", at positions 337 to 634 of the family's 1533-position model. The record is from RNAcentral.